GACGAACGCUGGCGGCGUGCUUAACACAUGCGAGUCGAACGGAAAGGCCCUGCUUUUGUGGGGUGCUCGAGUGGCGAACGGGUGAGUAACACGUGAGUAACCUGCCCUUGACUUUGGGAUAACUUCAGGAAACUGGGGCUAAUACCGGAUAGGAGCUCCUGCUGCAUGGUGGGGGUUGGAAAGUUUCGGCGGUUGGGGAUGGACUCGCGGCUUAUCAGCUUGUUGGUGGGGUAGUGGCUUACCAAGGCUUUGACGGGUAGCCGGCCUGAGAGGGUGACCGGCGACAUUGGGACUGAGAUACGGCCCAGACUCCUACGGGAGGCAGCAGUGGGGAAUAUUGCACAAUGGGCGGAAGCCUGAUGCGGCAACGCCGCGUGCGGGAUGACGGCCUUCGGGUUGUAAACCGCUUUCGCCUGUGACGAAGCGUGAGUGACGGUAAUGGGUAAAGAAGCACCGGCUAACUACGUG
This 468-nucleotide ribosomal RNA is filed under the name uncultured bacterium. RNAcentral's name for it is "partial 16S ribosomal RNA". It matches the Rfam family "Bacterial small subunit ribosomal RNA", at positions 28 to 507 of the family's 1533-position model. The record is from RNAcentral.